Long non-coding RNA from Temnothorax curvispinosus, 381 nucleotides. RefSeq lists it as uncharacterized. NCBI's taxonomy places the organism in Eukaryota, Metazoa, Arthropoda, Insecta, Hymenoptera, Formicidae. The record is from RefSeq and is a predicted model, not a curated record. The transcript is spliced from 2 exons.
UUAAUAUUAUUUAUUAAUAAUAUUUAAUUUUUAUUAAUUAAAUUUUUUUGUAUUUUCAGGCAAAAUUAUCACAAGAACGCAAAAAUAUCUCAAGAACGUGUAAAUCAAAUCAUGCAGACUAUUAUUAUUCGUUAUACAUGAAUUUUCAACAUUAAAAUCAACAAGAUUUUUUGUAUUCAUAAUUUUUUGCGUUUUUUGAACACGAACAAAAAUGUCUAUAAUUUAAAUUCCGUUUAAUUAUAAAUAAUUUUAAAUUGUACAUAUUAUUUCAAAUUGUCAGCAAAUUGUUCAUAUCUGCCUUAUUUGAGCGAAGCAAAGACUAAUACUUUUCUCGAGAAAUCACGCUUUUGACUUAUUAAAGAAAUAAAAAUGUUUUCUUUA